This is a non-coding RNA of Haliaeetus albicilla (white-tailed eagle), 46 nucleotides long. The record is from Rfam. NCBI's taxonomy places the organism in Eukaryota, Metazoa, Chordata, Aves, Accipitriformes, Accipitridae.
AUACAGGUUUUUUUAAAAACUACUGAGCAGACAUUUGAAAAUUAAU